GAUGAAGAACGCAGCGAAAUGCGAUACUUGGUGUGAAUUGCAGAAUCCCGUGAACCAUCGAGUCUUUGAACGCAAGUUGCGCCCGAAGCCAUUAGGCCGAGGGCACGUCUGCCUGGGCGUCACACGUCGUUGCCCCCCCCAUCUACUCCUUCGGGAUUGCGGGGGGCGGAUGAUGGCCUCCCGUGCGCCUCGCCGCGCGGUUGGCAUAAAUGCCAAGUCCUCGGCGACGCACGCCACGACAAUCGGUGGUUGCGAAACCUCGGUUGCCCGUCGUGUGCGGUCGUCGCGCAUCGAGGGCUCGAAAAAAUUGCCGAGUUCCGGCUCGGCUUUCAACGCGACCCCAGGUCAGGCGGGGUUACCCGCUGAAUUUAAGCAUAUCAAUAAGCGGAGGA
RNAcentral lists this unclassified non-coding RNA (392 nucleotides) under soil metagenome. Its description in RNAcentral is "partial contains 5.8S ribosomal RNA, internal transcribed spacer 2, and large subunit ribosomal RNA". The stretch from base 1 to 122 matches the Rfam family "5.8S ribosomal RNA", at positions 35 to 154 of the family's 154-position model. The record is from RNAcentral.